This 468-nucleotide ribosomal RNA is filed under the name uncultured bacterium. RNAcentral's name for it is "partial 16S ribosomal RNA". It matches the Rfam family "Bacterial small subunit ribosomal RNA", at positions 28 to 507 of the family's 1533-position model. The record is from RNAcentral.
GACGAACGCUGGCGGCGUGCUUAACACAUGCAAGUCGAACGGAAAGGCCCUGCUUUUGUGGGGUGCUCGAGUGGCGAACGGGUGAGUAACACGUGAGUAACCUGCCCUUGACUUUGGGAUAACUUCAGGAAACUGGGGCUAAUACCGGAUAGGAGCUCCUGCUGCAUGGUGGGGGUUGGAAAGUUUCGGCGGUUGGGGAUGGACUCGCGGCUUAUCAGCUUGUUGGUGGGGUAGUGGCUUACCAAGGCUUUGACGGGUAGCCGGCAUGAGAGGGUGACCGGGCACCAUGGGACUGAGAUACGGACCAGACUCCUACGGGAGGCAGCAGUGGGGAGUAUUACACAGCGAGAGCGAGCCUGAUACAGCAGCGCCGCGUGCGGGAUGACGGCUUUCGGGUUGUGAACAGCUUCCGCCUGUGACGCAGCGUGAGUGACGGUAAUGAGUAAAGAAGCACCGGCUAACUACGUG